GAUGAACGCUGGCGGCGUGCCUAAUACAUGCAAGUCGAGCGAACAGACGAGGAGCUUGCUCCUCUGACGUUAGCGGCGGACGGGUGAGUAACACGUGGAUACCCUACCUAUAAGACUGGGAUAACUUCGGGAAACCGGAGCUAAUACCGGAUAAUAUAUUGAACCGCAUGGUUCAAUAGUGAAAGACGGUUUUGCUGUCACUUAUAGAUGGAUCCGCGCCGCAUUAGCUAGUUGGUAAGGUAACGGCUUACCAAGGCAACGAUGCGUAGCCGACCUGAGAGGGUGAUCGGCCACACUGGAACUGAGACACGGUCCAGACUCCUACGGGAGGCAGCAGUAGGGAAUAUUGCGCAAUGGGCGAAAGCCUGACGGAGCAACGCCGCGUGAGUGAAGAAGGUCUUCGGAUCGUAAAACUCUGUUAUUAGGGAAGAACAAAUGUGUAAGUAACUAUGCACGUCUUGACGGUACCUAAUCAGAAAGCCACGGCUAACUACGUG
Molecule: ribosomal RNA, 497 nt
Filed under: uncultured bacterium
Lineage: Bacteria
Description: partial 16S ribosomal RNA
Rfam family: Bacterial small subunit ribosomal RNA
Source: RNAcentral